UAUUUGAAUAUCUUGCGAAGGGCCUUGAUAACGGUGAAUAUUUUGCACUAUUUGUACAAAUAUUUACACCAUUUGUAUAGAUGUUGCACUAUUAUGAGAUAAUGUUACACCAUUUAAAUAUUAUGUUGCACUCUUUCUUUUUAAAAAUUAAAAUAUAUUGUAUAUUAAAUAAAGUGUUAAAUUUUUUGGAAAUGACAAUUGUUAAGCCAUAAUUAUAUGUACCUUUCUCGAGAGUCGAGAAUUCUCAUUUAAUUAAGAUAAAAUAAAAAAUAAAAUAUCAUUAAUACAAUGAAAGAUUGUAAUAUUCUUUUAAAGAGUGCAACAUAGUCUCAAAUAGUGCAACAUUCUCUUCCAAAUAGUGUAAUAUUUAUGUAAAUAGUGCAAUAUAUGCAUCGUUAAUACACAUAUUG
RNAcentral lists this long non-coding RNA (410 nucleotides) under Ananas comosus (pineapple). Its description in RNAcentral is "long non-coding RNA (ACOM_LNC000006)". Lineage: Eukaryota; Viridiplantae; Streptophyta; Magnoliopsida; Poales; Bromeliaceae. The record is from RNAcentral.